AACCACACCCUCUGAUGUGAGCAUGUCUGCAAGUCUGCAAGUUGGAGCCAAGGUAUACCUCUAGUCUGGCUGUUCCUGAAAUUACUGGAAGAAGGACUCCAGUCCCACCCACUACGGAACACCAGAAUGCAUCUCAACAGUCUGUAAGCAAUGACUUCUCCCGAGGGUUUUCCUUCUCACUCACCUGGCUGUUUGGAUCUCCAACUCUACUCUCCUUGCUGAAGUCCAUGAAAGUCACCAAACGAGUCUGCAAAAUCCUUUGCAUGGACAGAUACACUAUUUGUCUUCCUCCUUACCCCACGUUCCUCCAGCCAGUUCCCAACGUAUUUGUAAGCUGAUAAAAAUGGAAGACCUUGACAGGAAGAGUCAACAGAAAGGAAAAUUCAGGUAAAACACAAGGAGAGGGGCUCCAGCAUAUGUGUUUGGGGGUGGAAGGAGUGGGCACUUAUGAAUAAAUCUUAAGUUUCAUCACUAUUGUGUAUUUUUUAGUUUUACAUCACACCCAAACACACAUGAGACAGAGCCCAGCUCUCCAUCUUCCCCCACAUACCCAGGGUGGACCCUCCCACCAGUGGUCCAAGUGCACCUGUAGACCAGAGAUCAGCUUAUUUUAAGAGUUUGUAAACCUCUAUUACAUGAGAUAUCCCUGAAUAAUUCAGCUAAUUUAGAAGGAAAAUGGAACACUAUUAAAAUAUCAAAUGUCU
Pan troglodytes (chimpanzee) is the source of this 704-nucleotide long non-coding RNA. RefSeq lists it as uncharacterized. The record is from RefSeq and is a predicted model, not a curated record. The transcript is spliced from 3 exons. Lineage: Eukaryota; Metazoa; Chordata; Mammalia; Primates; Hominidae.